CCUGAGUACGACGGAGCACGUGAAAUUCCGUCGGAAUCUGGGAGGACCAUCUCCUAAGGCUAAAUACUCUCUAGUGACCGAUAGUGAACCAGUACCGUGAGGGAAAGGUGAAAAGUACCCCGGAAGGGGAGUGAAAGAGAACUUGAAACCGUGUGCUUACAAGUAGUCAGAGCCCGUUAAUGGGUGAUGGCGUGCCUUUUGUAGAAUGAACCGGCGAGUUACGAUCUGAUGCAAGGUUAAGCAGAAAAUGUGGAGCCGUAGCGAAAGCGAGUCUGAAUAGGGCGAAUGAGUAUUUGGUCGUAGACCCGAAACCAGGUGAUCUACCCUUGGUCAGGUUGAAGUUCAGGUAACACUGAAUGGAGGACCGAACCGACUUACGUUGAAAAGUGAGCGGAUGAACUGAGGGUAGCGGAGAAAUUCCAAUCGAACUUGGAGAUAGCUGGUUCUCUCCGAAAUAGCUUUAGGGCUAGCCUCAAGUGAUGAUUAUUGGAGGUAGAGCACUGUUUGGACGAGGGGCCCCUCUCGGGUUACCGAAUUCAGACAAACUCCGAAUGCCAAAUAAUUUAACUUGGGAGUCAGAAUGUGGGUGAUAAGGUCCAUAUUCGAAAGGGAAACAGCCCAGACCACCAGCUAAGGUCCCAAAAUAUAUGUUAAGUGGAAAAGGAUGUGGCGUUGCCCAGACAACUAGGAUGUUGGCUUAGAAGCAGCCAUCAUUUAAAGA
This 721-nucleotide ribosomal RNA is filed under the name Staphylococcus pseudintermedius. RNAcentral's name for it is "partial 23S ribosomal RNA". It matches the Rfam family "Bacterial large subunit ribosomal RNA", at positions 407 to 1129 of the family's 2925-position model. Lineage: Bacteria; Bacillati; Bacillota; Bacilli; Caryophanales; Staphylococcaceae. The record is from RNAcentral.